UACGGAGGGUGCAAGCGUUAAUCGGAAUUACUGGGCGUAAAGCGAGUGUAGGCGGCCACGUAAGUCGGUUGUGAAAUCCCCGGGCUUAACCUGGGAAUUGCAGUCGAUACUGUGUGGCUAGAGUCUGAUAGAGGGAAGUGGAAUUCCGGGUGUAGCGGUGAAAUGCGUAGAUAUCCGGAGGAACACCAGUGGCGAAGGCGGCUUCCUGGAUCAAGACUGACGCUGAGGCUCGAAAGCGUGGGGAGCAAACAGG
Molecule: unclassified non-coding RNA, 253 nt
Filed under: Thiohalomonas sp.
Lineage: Bacteria; Pseudomonadati; Pseudomonadota; Gammaproteobacteria; Thiohalomonadales; Thiohalomonadaceae
Also listed under: 1 other name
Description: partial 16S ribosomal RNA
Rfam family: Bacterial small subunit ribosomal RNA
Source: RNAcentral